GCAUGUUUACGUAUUGGUGAGAAAUUCCU
RNAcentral lists this non-coding RNA (29 nucleotides) under Homo sapiens (human). The record is from RNAcentral. Lineage: Eukaryota; Metazoa; Chordata; Mammalia; Primates; Hominidae.